GAAAUAUUUUUAUUUUAAGCUACUAACUUAAAUUCAAGUGAUUUAUUUCAUUUAUAUUUCU
Molecule: transfer RNA, 61 nt
Filed under: Hypaurotis quercus (purple hairstreak)
Lineage: Eukaryota; Metazoa; Arthropoda; Insecta; Lepidoptera; Lycaenidae
Description: Quercusia quercus (purple hairstreak) tRNA-Ser
Source: RNAcentral